RNAcentral lists this ribosomal RNA (408 nucleotides) under Verrillactis sp. AY-2021. RNAcentral's name for it is "partial 16S ribosomal RNA". It matches the Rfam family "Bacterial large subunit ribosomal RNA", at positions 1963 to 2424 of the family's 2925-position model. Lineage: Eukaryota; Metazoa; Cnidaria; Anthozoa; Actiniaria; Sagartiidae. The record is from RNAcentral.
AAUCAAUAGCCAAUUAAUUGUUGGCCGGUAUGAAUGGCGUCACGAAGGCCCCGCUGUCUUAAGAGGACUCUCCAUGAAAUUGAAUUCGUAGUGAAGAUGCUACGUCCAUAUUGUAAGACGAAAAGACCCCAUUGAGCUUUACUAAAGACUUGUAUGGCUCGAAAUAACUUAAAUAAAAAGUUUAGAUAAUGUGGGAUCCGUUUUUGGUUAAUGAAACACCACUCUUUUAUUUUAAGAGAGCUAACCUGGUAGGGAAAAUGCAAGUUGGAUAGUUUGGUUGGGGCGACCACCUUUUAAAAGGUAACGAAGGUGAGCUUAAGGUCCGUAGUUAAUAGCUAGUGGCCUGACUGCAAGGGGGACAUCCCGAGCAGACACUGGUAUUCUCUCAGUGGGUUAUAGUGACCCGUC